AAUAGAUACCCCGGGUAGUCCACGCCGUAAACGAUGAGUGCUAAGUGUUAGAGGGUUUCCGCCCUUUAGUGCUGCAGCAAACGCAUUAAGCACUCCGCCUGGGGAGUACGGUCGCAAGACUGAAACUCAAAGGAAUUGACGGGGGCCCGCACAAGCGGUGGAGCAUGUGGUUUAAUUCGAAGCAACGCGAAGAACCUUACCAGGUCUUGACAUCCUUAUGCCUUCUCUAGAGAUAGAGCUUUCCCUUCGGGGACAUAAGUGACAGGUGGUGCAUGGUUGUCGUCAGCUCGUGUCGUGAGAUGUUGGGUUAAGUCCCGCAACGAGCGCAACCCUUGAUCUUAGUUGCCAGCAUUCAGUUGGGCACUCUAAGGUGACUGCCGGUGACAAACCGGGAGAAGGUGGGGAUGACGUCAAAUCAUCAUCGCCCCUUAUGACCUGGGCUACACACGUGCUACGAAUGGAUGGUACAAAGGGCAGCGGAACCGCGAGGUUAAGCCAAUCCCAUAAAACCAUUCUCAGUUCGGAUUGCAGG
Molecule: ribosomal RNA, 532 nt
Filed under: uncultured bacterium
Lineage: Bacteria
Description: bacterial SSU rRNA
Rfam family: Bacterial small subunit ribosomal RNA
Source: RNAcentral